RNAcentral lists this ribosomal RNA (467 nucleotides) under uncultured bacterium. RNAcentral describes it as "partial 16S ribosomal RNA". It matches the Rfam family "Bacterial small subunit ribosomal RNA", at positions 28 to 507 of the family's 1533-position model. The record is from RNAcentral.
GACGAACGCUGGCGGCGUGCUUAACACAUGCAAGUCGAACGAUGACGACCGAGCUUGCUCGGUCUGAUUAGUGGCGAACGGGUGAGUAACACGUGAGCAACCUGCCCUUCACUCUGGGAUAACCUCGGGAAAUCGGGGCUAAUACCGGAUAUGAGCUCCUGUCGCAUGGCGGGUGUUGGAAAGUUUUUCGGUGUAGGAUGGGCUCGCGGCCUAUCAGUUUGUUGGUGGGGUAGUGGCUCACCAAGGCGAUGACGGGUAGCCGGCCUGAGAGGGCGACCGGCCACACUGGGACUGAGACACGGCCCAGACUCCUACGGGAGGCAGCAGUGGGGAAUAUUGCACAAUGGGCGAAAGCCUGAUGCAGCGACGCCGCGUGAGGGAUGACGGCCUUCGGGUUGUAAACCGCUUUCAGCAGGGAAGAAGCGAAAGUGACGGUACCUGCAGAAGAAGCGCCGGCUAACUACGUG